Long non-coding RNA from Silurus meridionalis, 634 nucleotides. RefSeq lists it as uncharacterized. The record is from RefSeq and is a predicted model, not a curated record. NCBI's taxonomy places the organism in Eukaryota, Metazoa, Chordata, Actinopteri, Siluriformes, Siluridae. The transcript is spliced from 3 exons.
ACCAUCAUCAACAUCACCAUCAUCACCAUCAUCAGUCAUGAUUUCUCGAGGUCUACUGCUUGUUCUGCUGGUUCUCACCUGCCUUCAGUCUUUUACAACGGCCCAGAGUGUAAAUGUACCAGACUCAUGCUGCUUCAGUUACCACAAUAAUCCAAUCCCUAUCAGAGUCAUUACAGGGUAUAAAGUAACAGACCGUCACUGUUCAAAACCUGGAGUCGUCUUUACCCUGAUGAACAAGCGUCAGGUGUGUGUAGAUCCUGAACACGAGUGGGUGCAGAACCACAUGAAAAAAAUCGACGAGAUCCUGAACAAAUUUGAAUUGAGUGUUUAAAUCAUUUAUAAAAUGAGUAAUGCAUAUUCAUACAAAAUAACUUUUUAUGAUUUUUGAGCAGAAAGAAUCUAUUACAUCUAGUAAAUCUUCUCAAUAGUACUUCCUGCUACCAUUCCUUCUUUUUCUUCAUUCUAUAAGUAAUGUGAAUUUUCUAAUCAGACACAAUACAGUUAAAGACUUUGAUUAUGUUCAACAUAAACCUGUAAAAGAAUUAAUGUGAAUAAAUAAUGACUGUAUUAUAAGAUGUUAUUGUGUAUUGUUUAUUUCUGUGUAUUAAUGUAGACACAGUAAAGGUUGUGUAAG